This 477-nucleotide ribosomal RNA is filed under the name uncultured bacterium. RNAcentral's name for it is "partial 16S ribosomal RNA". It matches the Rfam family "Bacterial small subunit ribosomal RNA", at positions 28 to 523 of the family's 1533-position model. The record is from RNAcentral.
GACGAACGCUGGCGGCGUGCUUAACACAUGCAAGUCGAACGGACUGUUAGUGAAAGCUUGCUGGAUCUAACAGUUAGUGGCGGACGGGUGAGUAACACGUGAGAACCUAUCCCGACCCGGGGGACAACAGGUGGAAACGCCUGCUAAUACCCCAUAGGCGCAGAGAUGCGUGAAAGGAGCAAUCCGGGGAGGGAGGGGCUCGCGGCCUAUCAGCUAGUAGGUGGGGUAACGGCCCACCUAGGCGAUGACGGGUAGCCGGCCUGAGAGGGCGCACGGCCACACUGGAACUGAGACACGGUCCAGACUCCUACGGGAGGCAGCAGUGGGGAAUCUUGGGCAAUGGGGGCAACCCUGACCCAGCGACGCCGCGUGAGGGACGAAAUCCCUUGGGAUGUAAACCUCUGUUGUGCGGGACGAAGGACGUGACGGUACCGCACGAGGAAGCCCCGGCAAACUACGUGCCAGCAGCCGCAGUAA